CGCCGCAGAGCAAUUCGAUCCAUCAACGCAAACCACGAGAGUGAGCCCCAAGACAGUGGACGACGCAAUCAGCUCUCUACUCAAAUGGAAAACCGAGAAAUCAAAAACAGAGAAGCCUCAGCUCCUCGAGCAAGACGAGUUCGUCUACCUAACCGUCACUUUGAAGAAGAUCCCGCAAACAAGCCGCACGAACGCUCACCGAAUCCGAUUACCUCACCCGCUUAUCAACACGGAGGAAGAGUCCCCCGAGCUUUGCCUCAUCAUCGACGACAGACCUAAAAGCGGCCUCUCCAAAGAAGACGCGGUUAAAAAGAUCGAAUCGGAGAAUAUUCCGAUUACCAAAGUGCUCAAGCUCUCGAAGCUCAAGACGGACUACAAGGCCUUCGAAGCGAAGAGGAAGCUUUUCGACUCGUACGAUAUGUUCUUCGCGGAUCGGAGAGUGAUUCCUAUGCUUCCGAGGCUGAUCGGGAAGAAGUUCUUUGUUCAGAAGAAGAUUCCUUUGCCGGUGGAUCUGAAGCAUAAGAACUGGAAGCAGCAGAUUGAGAAGGGAUGCGGCUCCGCUAUGUUUUUCGUUAGCACGGGGACGUGUAGUGUUGUGAAAGUUGGGAAGUUGUCGAUGGAUAGCGACGAGGUUGUUGAGAAUGUGAUGGCGACGCUAAACGGCGUCGUUGAGGUGUUGCCUAGUCAGUGGAAGUACGUUCGGUCUUUGCAUUUGAAGCUGUCGGAGAGCGUUUCGUUGCCGAUUUAUCAGUGUGUGCCCGAUUUGAAGCUGAAGAUUGAUGAUUUUGAGGAGGAGAGUGGUGUUACGGAAGAGGAGAAGAAGAAGAAAGGGAAGAGUGAUGGUGUGAAGGGGAAAAAGAAGAAGGGUAGGAUUCAUGAGGUUAGAUGUAUGGAUAGUAAUGUAUCUGAGGUGCUUGAUGAAGAUGAGGUUAGUAUUGAGUCUGGUGGUGUUAAGGAGAAGAAUAAGAGAAAGAAGGAGGGAAGUGUGGUUGAUGAUGAUGCUGAGAAACCGAAGAAGAAAGUUGCCAAGAGUAAGCUGAAAGAGAAGAGAAAUAGUGGGUUAAAGCCGGAGAAGAAGACAAUGGUUACAAAAGGUUUGAAACAAAAGAGGAAGAAGACUGUGCUUAGAAGUUAAGGCAAUGGAACAUCAGAGGAUUAGAUCUUUAAGGUUUUUGCAUCUUUUUCAAUUAAGUAAUUGUAUGUUUUAUCGUAAUGCUGAUGAUAUUUUAGGUUCUCUUAUAUCGUCUACUGCUUCUCGUGUUGUUUGGUGGAGGAAACAUACUUAUGUUACCAGUUUUGAUUUUUUCUUAUUUAACUUAUUUUGUCAGAGCAUCUCCUAGGUAAACUCUAUAUUUUCUUUUAAAAUAGAGAUUUUGUGAAAAUGCUCUAAAGUAUGCCUCUAUAAUAGAGUUUUUCUAUUUUAGAAGAAAAUAUAGAGGAAAGUUACUUUUGUAGAAAUAUCAUAUCUCUAUAUUUUCUCUUAUAAAUAGAGAAACUCUAUUAUAGAGUAUACAUUGGAGCAUUUUCACCUCUAUAAUAGAGUUUUUCUAUUUUAGAGGAAAAUAUAGAGAUAGAAAAUAUAGAAAUAGAAAUAGGGGUGGGUUGGAGAUGGUCUUAUAAACAACUAGUGUUUAUCUUUGGAUUAUAGCAAUCAAUCAAGUGACAAUGAUUUACCAACAUAGUAACAAAAUCUUCAUCUUUUUAUAAUCUUCAUCUUUUUAUAUAUAAAAUUGGUUCUUAGAAGGUUAACCUUUAGCCAUAAGAUGAUCUAUAGCUCUAUGAGUUUGCUAUGAUAUGACAGACAUGAAUAACCAAAGGCCAAUGAUCGACGAAAUAAUCAAUGAAAAAUACAAUGUUUUUGAGCAAUUGUGUUUAUGGAAGACAAAAAUUUAUCAUAUAAAACUAUAGCAGAGUAAUCGAAAAGAUGUGUGUAAUAGUAAAACAUUAUAAUACAGUGAAGUAGGCUGAAGCUCACAAGUAUGUAAGAACCUUCUUGAUCACAAAGCAGCAAGCCUUCCGACGGUGUACCAAUUUUAUUCUCCUGAUGGUAAGCUCCUUCCUCUUUUCUGCUCUUGUCUAGUUUGCUUAAGAUCUUUUUACAAUCUCAUUUUCUAAUCACAGGGCCUCUGUACGGAACUCUCCAUAUCACAAAGUUAUCUGGGGGUUGAUACUCUUCAAGCCAUGUCACAUUUGAGAUCACUUCUCCGUUCAUCACUUCAAUCUCACCUGGUUUCACAGACCAUCAUCAUCAUCACCGCCGCAGAGCAAUUCGAUCCAUCAACGCAAACCACGAGAGUGAGCCCCAAGACAGUGGACGACGCAAUCAGCUCUCUACUCAAAUGGAAAACCGAGAAAUCAAAAACAGAGAAGCCUCAGCUCCUCGAGCAAGACGAGUUCGUCUACCUAACCGUCACUUUGAAGAAGAUCCCGCAAACAAGCCGCACGAACGCUCACCGAAUCCGAUUACCUCACCCGCUUAUCAACACGGAGGAAGAGUCCCCCGAGCUUUGCCUCAUCAUCGACGACAGACCUAAAAGCGGCCUCUCCAAAGAAGACGCGGUUAAAAAGAUCGAAUCGGAGAAUAUUCCGAUUACCAAAGUGCUCAAGCUCUCGAAGCUCAAGACGGACUACAAGGCCUUCGAAGCGAAGAGGAAGCUUUUCGACUCGUACGAUAUGUUC
Molecule: long non-coding RNA, 2679 nt
Filed under: Brassica napus (rape)
Lineage: Eukaryota; Viridiplantae; Streptophyta; Magnoliopsida; Brassicales; Brassicaceae
Description: long non-coding RNA (BNAP_LNC022014)
Source: RNAcentral